This 305-nucleotide unclassified non-coding RNA is filed under the name plant metagenome. RNAcentral's name for it is "partial contains 5.8S ribosomal RNA, internal transcribed spacer 2, and large subunit ribosomal RNA". The stretch from base 1 to 101 matches the Rfam family "5.8S ribosomal RNA", at positions 50 to 154 of the family's 154-position model. The record is from RNAcentral.
AAAAUACGAAAAGUAAUAUGAAUUGCAGAAACGAAUCAUCAACUAUUUGAACGCACAUUGCGCCCGCCAGUAUUCUGGCGGGCAUGCCUGUUCGAGCGUCAUUUCAACCAUCAAGCCCCCGGGCUUGUGUUGGGGACCUGCGGCUGCCGCAGGCCCCGAAAACCAGUGGCGGGCUCGCUGUCACACCGGGCGUAGUAGAUUUUUCGUCUCGCCCAGGGCGUGCUGCGGGUUCCGGCCGUUAAAAAGCCUCUCUUUUAACCCAAGGUUGACCUCGGAUCAGGUAGGAAGACCCGCUGAACUUAAGC